GGCAGCCCGGCUUAUACUUGUUCUCAGUGCGGAAGAGUCAGGGUCUGUCUUCUCUGUGAAAAGCCGGCUGCCAUUCAGGCUCAAGGAAUAUCUCGCCUGCCAGCACUGUAGCUCUUUCUUUGCUCAACCCCUUCUUACAUGGGCGCAGCGUUGUUAUGAGUAAUACCCUCGCCAGGCCUGGUGUGCUUGAUGUUAAAAGGAUGAAUCAGACUUAAGAUUCAGCACCUGUCAUCAGCGAGUUGCAUCCGAUCUAGCAGAUUAGAUAUUAAUAGAUAUUAGAUAUUAAUAUUAAUAGAGAUAUUAGAUAUUAAUAUUAAUAGUGCAAGUUUGUGCACCUGCCCUGUGCCGGACGUUUUGCGACCAGUACCACUUUCAGUAAUUUGGCUUCAAAUCCCACGAAGAAAGUAACAGCAUUAGAAAGGCCUGCCUUGUGACUGAGGUGGAAGAGUCAGUAUGUCAGGUUGUGCAAGGGCACAUGUUUGUGUGGGAAGAGCAGAGACAUUAGUGACUCUCAUCCUGGACCACAGUCCGACUGAAGAAGAAACUGGUUCCCUUGUGGAAGAGAUAAAACAAGAAUUUCUUCAAGACCACAAGCCCCACCUACCCCCAGGAAAACAGCUAAAGGGAGGAAGAGAUCAACGGUGUGUCUUUUAGUCCCCCCUGACAAAAGGCAUUUGGAUUCUGCAUUAGCAAGCUGAGAAUUAACAGUACUGGCAAUGAAGUUCUGAGUCGGUCUUUGACUGAGAGUGACAGACCCAGUUUUCCAUGUCUAGUGUACCCUUAUAUGAUCCCUCAAAGCCCUUGGCAACACGCAUGGCACUGUAUCAGAUGCAAGGGACCAAUACUGCAGAGAAUGAACUGGACAAGAGAACUACCUCAAGUACAGGUGGGUCUAGAAUGUUCCUAACAGCUCCCAUGAUGCUUCUGUAGAGAGUGGCUUCACCUGAAAACAACAUGACACUAAUAAGCACCAGGCAUGCCAUUGCUCACAGCAGGGCAUGGCGGGUAUGGGGAAACGGGAUGGCACAGGAGUCCCCAGACAGUAAGCAUCCCGAAACUGUUGGCUCUCAUUUCCAGAACAAACCCAUUGUU
Molecule: long non-coding RNA, 1092 nt
Organism: Arvicola amphibius (Eurasian water vole)
Lineage: Eukaryota; Metazoa; Chordata; Mammalia; Rodentia; Cricetidae
Exons: 4
Source: RefSeq, a predicted model, not a curated record